CCACACUGGUCAGGCUGGUCUCGAACUCCUGACCCCAUGUGAUCUACCUGCCUCGGCCUCUCAAAGUGCUGAGUUUAUAGGUGUGAGCCACUGCACCUGGCCCUAGCUUUUGAUACUGUCAUUUCCCUUUGGGCCUGAGACUCUUCUAGUCAAUCCUGGUCUCAGUGUUUGCCUGACAGGUACCAUGUUUUUUUUAAAAAACAGUGAAAUUUGGGAUAUAGUGUAGACUCUCUAGUAACUGUUAACCUCUUAAUACAGGUCCAGUUUCCAUAAACAAUAGUAUACUACUUUGACUCCUUUUGACUUGGUUUCAAGGCAACCUGGAGGUGGAAGAGGGUAUAUUGGGUGGUUGGUUUAAAUGUUACUAUUACUGAGAAACCAGUUUAUUUUCAUGUUUAUACUGAAGAUGUAGCCUCCCAAAUUUUACAAUUUAGGUGUUUCUCUAAGAAUAGUAUUAUUAGUUAAUACCUAACAUUUGAGUGUUUGCUGUGUGUCAGACCCUGUGUGUUUAGUGCUGCAUUAUUUUAUGUAAUCAUUAUGACAAUCCUAUGAGGUGUAGGGUUUAUAAUUGAGGAAUCUGGAACUUAGAAGAUAACUAAGAGCAGAUUGUGUGAAAAGCGUUGAAACACUGAACUAAAGCUGUGAUGUGGAGAUGAAGACGAGACAGAUACACAUUGAAAAGAUAAAAUUGAAGAAUUGACACAGUUGAAUUGAUAGGAAUUUAUAAACAGCCACAAAAAGAUCAUGGCAAAGAGGUUAAGGUUUAGAAGGUCACCCUGGGAUCUGUAAAAUGAAAAGUUAGAAGAGUUGUGAGGUACACCAUCAUUUAAGAAUCUUGAAGACUGCCUAAGAAGGCAUGAGCAGCAAGGUAGGACAGCCAGAAGAGUGGUAGAAACCAAGGGAAAAAUUUCAAGAAUAAAAGAAUGGUCAACCCUGUCAUACCACAAUUGAAGACUGAAGAGAGCCCAAGUGAUGUUAGGAAAAGAGCAUCUCAGUGGAGUGGUGGAGGCAGCAGGGACACGCUGAGUAUACACUAAUGGCCACAGACUGCAGAAGAGGCUAUGAAGUCAUAAAGCCAGAAGAAACCCUGAGAGGCCAUCCACCCCAGGUACAAUUGUUUUAUAAUUCUUUCAAGUAUUUUAUUUGCCCUAUGUAAAUGUCAUUGGAAUAUUGCACAGACAGUGGGUUUCUUGAUAUUAUUUGCAGUAGACCCUUUCAACAAAACAGGAACAAGUGAAAUACAUUCAUAUUUAAACCAAACUGCUUCAAAACAUACCUCUUUACCAAAAAUUCUGCUGUACUAAAAUUAAGGAGUUUUUUUAAAUAUUAUAUAUGAGGCAGGUCCUCUUUGAAAGACAAUUAAAAAUGGGGUUAAAAGGAAUUGUUCACUUCAAAAUACAGUUAAAGCAUUAUAAGUAGCUAUAUUAAAACCGAGAGAUCUGCCAACUAUUUUUAGUCUAAUACAUUCCAUUUUUUCACUAGCUUUGUAAACUCCUUGUCAUAAUAAAGCUGGUCAAUUAACACUAUUUGUUCUAAGUAAAUGCAGGCUUAGUAGGCCCCUCAGUAGUUUCAGGUCACAAACAAGAUCGAUUCAAGUAAAAAUGGCCAUUUUAAGUGGGGAUAAAGUAGUAAAUAUGGGCUAAUGAGAAAACUCGAGACAUUGUUCAAUGAUGAGAACUGGAGUAAUUUAAGAGUAAACUUCUAAGAUUUAGUUUGUCUGGAACAUUUUCUAAAAAUAAUGUCUUUGAUUAAAAUAUUUGAGAAAUCUGUAGAAACAUAUGCCUCCCAUUGCCGAUACUGGACAGACACCCCCUGCUGAUUUUAACGAAUCAUAAAGACUCUUAAUGGAGUCUUCCUUACUCCUCACAAGAGUCAUUGCUAAGAUGAAGUAAAAAACACUUCUCUUUUUAUGGCUCAAUUUCCCAAUUCGGCAAUUUCUGUGGCGUUGUCAGUGUAAGGUGGUAAUAUUCAGUGCAUCUUUUAAAUAAAGGAAGCUUUGCUUGAGUCCCUGAAAGGAAACAAAUUAGUUUCACUCUGCAACAGAACCUCAGCCUGACAUGUAGGUUUGCUGGUGCCAACUGCUUAAUUCCAACCAAACGGUGGGUGGGUGCAGGUUACCUGCUGAAAGCUUCUCAACUCAACUGACUUAAUCAAGUUCUUGCAAAAGAUUAAUUGCUGUUCCACAGUCUCAUAGAUAAGAUAUUCUUGAAGACUGGAAACACAUUUAAACAAUGGGAAAAGCAAAGGAAUUAGGCUAGGAGAAGAUGAAUAAAUGCACACAAUGCCUGCUCUGCAUUUACUGAUUUGUUUGUUCAGUUUAAAUAGUAAACUUUUAACUCCUGUGGAAAUUUUGCCAAAAGUUUCAAUACAUAGAAGAUUAUAAAUCUUAAACUAACACUGCACAGAGAAAGACAAAGCUACUUCUUUUUUUAAAUACAAAUAUCGUCUACAUUCUAUCAUUUCAAACCCCUGAGUAAUACUGUACCAAAGUACAGAUUUGAAGAGAAACUGAGGGUUCAGGCCUCAAACGUUAAUCUUCAGUUAAUUCCACACCAAUGGCAUGAGUCUCAUGUAACACAUUCAGUCUAGUUAAUGCUGACAGUUUCCCCCUAACAUAGUGUAAUAGAAAAAAAUAAUGCAAACUCCAUAUUCACUCUCCAAAGUAUAUCCUCCUCAGGAUCCCAUGGGCAGACCAUAUCUUAAGUAAUUGCAUAACUACCUAGGGUAGAGUUUACCUGAAUUUAAGGGUCCUGUAAAUGGAAGUGAAGGAAAGUGAUGUCCCCAAAGACUUGGAUCAGAUUUGGGGAGUUCUUUGGAGAAUUUAGACAAGUAUGUUGCACUUUGCUCCACAGUGAUUGUACUUUAAAGGAAAAAAAAAAUCCCAAAUUGUUUCUGUCCCACCCCACUUAGGCAUCUUUUUGCUGUUUUUGCUCUCUUCAAAAGCUCAUACAUGACGUCCAGUAAGAAAGUAGAGAGGCUUGUCUUCACUGCUGUUAGCAGUUUGAAACUCGUCCCGGAGGCGGAACUGCCACUCAUCUUCUAGCUCUAAGCGGACAAUCGUUUGGCGCAAGGAACUUCUGUCUUGGCAGAUGACACACAGGGUAGCACCUUCAGAAAAAAAGACAGAAAUACAUCCUAGGCUCAGGGAUUGAGUAUGUAAAGAACUUUACUAUCUCUGAUUAUAUUUUCUAAGCUAAUACAUCUGAGAACCAACAGAUGGGUACAUAAUCUAUCAGAAUUAAUUUUAUUAAGUAGUUUUGCAAAUUCAGUUUUUGUGUGUGUGUGUGUGUGUGAGUGAGACGGAGUCUUGCUCUGUCACCAGGCUAGAGUGCAAUGGCGUGAUCUCG
Molecule: long non-coding RNA, 3347 nt
Organism: Piliocolobus tephrosceles (Ugandan red Colobus)
Lineage: Eukaryota; Metazoa; Chordata; Mammalia; Primates; Cercopithecidae
Exons: 3
Source: RefSeq, a predicted model, not a curated record